Molecule: ribosomal RNA, 472 nt
Filed under: uncultured bacterium
Lineage: Bacteria
Description: bacterial SSU rRNA
Rfam family: Bacterial small subunit ribosomal RNA
Source: RNAcentral
ACUCCUACGGGAGGCAGCAGUAGGGAAUAUUGGUCAAUGGGCGAAAGCCUGAACCAGCCAUGCCGCGUGUCAGAUGAAGGUCCUCUGGAUUGUAAAUGACUUUUCUACGGGAAGAAUGAGCCGUCUGCGGACGGAAGUUGACGGUACCGUAGGAAUAAGCACCGGCUAACUACGUGCCAGCAGCCGCGGUAAUACGUAGGGGUGCAAGCGUUGUCCGGAUUUACUGGGUUUAAAGGGUACGUAGGCGGUUGUGCCAAGUCUGGGGUGAAAGUUUGCAGCUCAACUGUAAAAAUUGCCUUGGAUACUGGUCGGCUAGAGUAGUGGAGCGGUGGCUGGAAUUUAUAGUGUAGCGGUGAAAUGCUUAGAUACUAUGAGGAACACCAAUUGCGAAGGCAGGUCACUGGUCACUAACUGACGCUGAGGUACGAAAGUGUGGGGAUCAAACAGGAUUAGAUACCCUGGUAGGAUAGCG